Helianthus annuus (common sunflower) is the source of this 484-nucleotide long non-coding RNA. RefSeq lists it as uncharacterized. NCBI's taxonomy places the organism in Eukaryota, Viridiplantae, Streptophyta, Magnoliopsida, Asterales, Asteraceae. The record is from RefSeq and is a predicted model, not a curated record. The transcript has 3 exons.
ACCACAACUUCCUACUCUCUCUCUCUCCAAAAUCGUUCAAGGCCAAACACCCUCAUACUUCACCUUCUUUCAUAAUCCAAACUCAAGAACACAUGCAAAUAUGAAGGUUUAUGAAUAAAACAAGAUAUUUGUGAGAUUAAGGAAUCUAUUCGAAGCAUUUUUGGUGGAACUAGAAGCCCUAGAUCAUCAAGAUUUUUCUUAUCUUCAUCCUUAUUUCCUAGCAAAAAUUGUCGAGAAACGAACCGCGAACAAGGAAUCGAAUAGAGAUUUGCACGGAACGCAAAUCUGAGAUUAGUGGACGGCUUUGGGAAAAUAUGUUCAAGUGGUUAUCAAGAACGCAAGCUUUUGUGAUGUCAUCCGUUUUUAGUGUUAUGUUUUGAACUUUGAAUAAUGUAGUUAAAGUUGGUGUUGUUUCAAGUUUCAAACAAGACAUAUGUAAUGUAAACUAUGGUUUCGAAUCAAUUGUAUGGAUGAACAUCUUUUA